GAAAUGCGAUAAGUAGUGUGAAUUGUAGAAUUCAGUGAAUCAUCGAAUCUUUGAACGCACAUUGCGCCCUUUGGUAUUCCAAAGGGCAUGCCUGUUCGAGCGUCAUUUGUACCCUCAAGCUUUGCUUGGUGUUGGGCGUCUUGUCUCUAGCUUUGCUGGAGACUCGCCUUAAAGUAAUUGGCAGCCGGCCUACUGGUUUCGGAGCGCAGCACAAGUCGCACUCUCUAUCAGCAAAGGUCUAGCAUCCAUUAAGCCUUUUUUUCAACUUUUGACCUCGGAUCAGGUAGGGAUACCCGCUGAACUUAAGC
This 308-nucleotide unclassified non-coding RNA is filed under the name plant metagenome. RNAcentral's name for it is "partial contains 5.8S ribosomal RNA, internal transcribed spacer 2, and large subunit ribosomal RNA". The stretch from base 1 to 105 matches the Rfam family "5.8S ribosomal RNA", at positions 50 to 154 of the family's 154-position model. The record is from RNAcentral.